This 73-nucleotide transfer RNA is filed under the name Pirellulales bacterium. Its description in RNAcentral is "tRNA-Phe". It matches the Rfam family "tRNA". Rfam says of the family: Transfer RNA (tRNA) molecules are approximately 80 nucleotides in length. Their secondary structure includes four short double-helical elements and three loops (D, anti-codon, and T loops). Further hydrogen bonds mediate the characteristic L-shaped molecular structure. tRNAs have two regions of fundamental functional importance: the anti-codon, which is responsible for specific mRNA codon recognition, and the 3' end, to which the tRNAs corresponding amino acid is attached (by aminoacyl-tRNA synthetases). tRNAs cope with the degeneracy of the genetic code in two manners: having more than one tRNA (with a specific anti-codon) for a particular amino acid; and 'wobble' base-pairing, i.e. permitting non-standard base-pairing at the 3rd anti-codon position. Lineage: Bacteria; Pseudomonadati; Planctomycetota; Planctomycetia; Pirellulales. The record is from RNAcentral.
GGACAGGUAGCUCAGUUGGUAGAGCAACGGACUGAAAAUCCGUGUGUCGGGGGUUCGAUCCCCCCCCUGUCCA